UCUCCAUUUCACACGCUCUCUCGCCGGUAAGAGUGACGAGAUAGUGUGUGAAAUGAGAGAGA
Molecule: microRNA precursor, 62 nt
Filed under: Pristionchus pacificus
Lineage: Eukaryota; Metazoa; Nematoda; Chromadorea; Rhabditida; Neodiplogasteridae
Description: mir-8364 microRNA precursor family
Rfam family: mir-8364 microRNA precursor family
Source: Rfam by way of RNAcentral